UACGGAGGGUGCGAGCGUUGUCCGGAAUCAUUGGGCGUAAAGGGCGCGUAGGUGGCCCCUCAAGCGUGCGGUGAAAGUCAGGGGCUCAACCCCUGAUCGGCCGUGCGAACUGGGGAGCUUGAGCACUGUAGAGGCAGGCGGAAUUCCGGGUGUAGCGGUGGAAUGCGUAGAGAUCGGAAGGAACGUCAAUGGCGAAGGCAGCCACCUGGCUUAAUACUGACGCUGAGGCGCGAAAGCGUGGGUAGCGAACAGG
Molecule: ribosomal RNA, 253 nt
Filed under: uncultured bacterium
Lineage: Bacteria
Description: partial 16S ribosomal RNA
Rfam family: Bacterial small subunit ribosomal RNA
Source: RNAcentral